This 476-nucleotide ribosomal RNA is filed under the name uncultured bacterium. Its description in RNAcentral is "bacterial SSU rRNA". It matches the Rfam family "Bacterial small subunit ribosomal RNA", at positions 335 to 798 of the family's 1533-position model. The record is from RNAcentral.
ACUCCUACGGGAGGCAGCAGUGGGGAAUAUUGCACAAUGGGGGAAACCCUGAUGCAGCCAUGCCGCGUGUGUGAAGAAGGCCUUCGGGUUGUAAAGCAUCUUUGCAGUAGGGAGGAAGGUAGUGUAGUUAACCACCUGCAUUAUUUGACGUUACCUACAGAAGAAGCACCGGCUAACUCCGUGCCAGCAGCCGCGGUAAUACGGAGGGUGCGAGCGUUAAUCGGAAUUACUGGGCGUAAAGCGCAUGCAGGCGGCCUGUUAAGUCAGAUGUGAAAGCCCGGGGCUUAACCUCGGAAUUGCAUUUGAAACUGGCAGGCUAGAGUCUUGUAGAGGGGGGUAGAAUUCAGGUGUAGCGGUGAAAUGCGUAGAGAUCUGAAGGAAUACCAGUGGCGAAGGCGGCCCCCCUGGAGCAAAGACUGACGCUCAGAUGCGAAAGCGUGGGGAGCAAACAGGAUUAGAUGACCCUGGUAGACUGU